This 206-nucleotide ribosomal RNA is filed under the name uncultured bacterium. Its description in RNAcentral is "partial 16S ribosomal RNA". It matches the Rfam family "Bacterial small subunit ribosomal RNA", at positions 568 to 774 of the family's 1533-position model. The record is from RNAcentral.
CGCGUAGGCGGGUUCCCAAGUCUGUGGUGAAAUCCUCCAGCUUAACUGGAGAAGUGCCAUGGAUACUGGAGACCUCGAGGAGGGUAGGGGCAUCUGGAACAGCCGGUGGAGCGGUGAAAUGCGUUGAUAUCGGCUGGAACUCCGAUGGCGAAGGCAAGGUGCUGGACCCUAUCUGACGCUGAGGCGCAAAGCCAGGGGAGCGAACG